UCAGCUAUCGGUUUAGCACACACAGCCUGAUACAAGUCUUACGUCAAAUUCUAUAAAAAACACACACACCCAAAAAGCUAAUAAUCCUAUUAAAGAACUUAAGAGAAAGAUUAAUGACAGCUACACAUAAGAACCUGCAUCUCAUUAAGGUUUCAUUUGCUUCUUUUGGAAUUAGAAAAUGAAAUAAUGGUGGUAGCUAUAUAAUAUCUAUUCUACAAUUGCGGUGGCUGCUGAUGCCACUUUUUGACUAGCUGAGUAGCUGAUCUCCUUUCCCUGGAGAUUGCCGCUGAUUGCUGAUCCUGUGAAUGAAGCUAGUGAAAGUGCCAGCUCACAGCCAACCAUGCUUUAAGUCAACAACUGCACAGAUUUCCUUUAGAGCAUGUCAGUACUGAUAAUCUGGCCAGAGGAAUCAUUCUUGAAUGACAUGAGACAUCCUCUGACUGCAGGGGUUGAGUAUACUGUCUCCUUAGGUCUUUUAGUCUAUGUCAUCCCAAAGAACAAGCAAUCAGGAGACAAGAGACCAUAUCACUACCAAUAAACUAUCAGAUUGG
Molecule: long non-coding RNA, 551 nt
Organism: Mauremys reevesii (Reeves's turtle)
Lineage: Eukaryota; Metazoa; Chordata; Testudines; Geoemydidae
Exons: 4
Source: RefSeq, a predicted model, not a curated record